RNAcentral lists this ribosomal RNA (305 nucleotides) under uncultured bacterium. Its description in RNAcentral is "bacterial SSU rRNA". It matches the Rfam family "Bacterial small subunit ribosomal RNA", at positions 335 to 637 of the family's 1533-position model. The record is from RNAcentral.
GAGCCUACGGGAGGCAGCAGUGAGGGAUAUUGGUCAAUGGGCGGGAGCCUGAACCAGCCAAGUCGCGUGAGGGAAGACGGUCCUAUGGAUUGUAAACCUCUUUUGUCGGGGAGCAAAGAGAUCACGUGUGGUCAAAAGCGAGAGUACCCGAAGAAAAAGCAUCGGCUAACUCCGUGCCAGCAGCCGCGGUAAUACGGAGGAUGCGAGCGUUAUCCGGAUUUAUUGGGUUUAAAGGGUGCGUAGGCGGGACGGUAAGUCAGCGGUAAAGAUGCGGAGCUCAACUCCGUCGAGCUGUCGAAACUGCC